This is a non-coding RNA of Lophiostoma macrostomum CBS 122681, 88 nucleotides long. NCBI's taxonomy places the organism in Eukaryota, Fungi, Ascomycota, Dothideomycetes, Pleosporales, Lophiostomataceae. The record is from the annotation of a GenBank genome assembly.
GGUCGGUUAGCUCAGUUGGUUAGAGCGUGGUGCUAAUAGCUAAAGCUAGUUAACGCCAAGGUCGCGGGUUCGACCCCCGUACUGACCA